UACGAAGGGGGCUAGCGUUGCUCGGAAUCACUGGGCGUAAAGCGCACGUAGGCGGCUUUUUAAGUCAGGGGUGAAAUCCUGGAGCUCAACUCCAGAACUGCCUUUGAUACUGGGAAGCUUGAGUCCGGAAGAGGUGAGUGGAACUCCGAGUGUAGAGGUGAAAUUCGUAGAUAUUCGGAAGAACACCAGUGGCGAAGGCGGCUCACUGGGCCGGUACUGACGCUGAGGUGCGAAAGCGUGGGGAGCAAACAGG
RNAcentral lists this ribosomal RNA (253 nucleotides) under uncultured bacterium. RNAcentral's name for it is "partial 16S ribosomal RNA". It matches the Rfam family "Bacterial small subunit ribosomal RNA", at positions 524 to 776 of the family's 1533-position model. The record is from RNAcentral.